RNAcentral lists this non-coding RNA (28 nucleotides) under Homo sapiens (human). The record is from RNAcentral. Lineage: Eukaryota; Metazoa; Chordata; Mammalia; Primates; Hominidae.
UGCCUAAGUAAUUUCUUCUUAACUCUGG